UCAGGGCGUGGCUGAGUUAGUCAAGCACCUCACUUACACCGAGAAGACAUCCA
RNAcentral lists this transfer RNA (53 nucleotides) under Pogonichthys macrolepidotus (Sacramento splittail). Its description in RNAcentral is "tRNA-Val". Lineage: Eukaryota; Metazoa; Chordata; Actinopteri; Cypriniformes; Leuciscidae. The record is from RNAcentral.